Molecule: ribosomal RNA, 460 nt
Filed under: uncultured bacterium
Lineage: Bacteria
Description: partial 16S ribosomal RNA
Rfam family: Bacterial small subunit ribosomal RNA
Source: RNAcentral
CCUACGGGAGACUGCAGUGAGGAAUAUUGGUCAAUGGACGAGAGUCUGAACCAGCCAAGUAGCGUGAAGGAUGACUGCCCUAUGGGUUGUAAACUUCUUUUAUAAAGGAAUAAAACGAGGCACGUGUGCCUUUUUGCAUGUACUUUAUGAAUAAGGAUCGGCUAACUCCGUGCCAGCAGCCGCGGUAAUACGGAGGAUCCGAGCGUUAUCCGGAUUUCUUGGGUUUAAAGGGAGCGUAGAUGGGUUGUUAAGUCAGUUGUGAAAGUUUGCGGCUCAACCGUAAAAUUGCAAUUGAUACUGGCAGUCUUGAGUACAGUUGAGGUAGGCGGAAUUCGUGGUGUAGCGGUGAAAUGCUUAGAUAUCACGAAGAACCCAGAUUGCGAAGGCAGCUUACUAAACUGUGACUGACAUUGAUGCUCGAAAGUGUGGGUAUCAAACAGGAUUGGAUACCCUGGUAGUC